This 2572-nucleotide long non-coding RNA is filed under the name Triticum aestivum (bread wheat). Its description in RNAcentral is "long non-coding RNA (TAES_LNC008923)". The record is from RNAcentral. Lineage: Eukaryota; Viridiplantae; Streptophyta; Magnoliopsida; Poales; Poaceae.
UUGCUGGUGCGUGUGGCACCCCGGCUCGGAGAAACCAGAAGGCACCAGUAUUCCAGCCCAGAGGUCGAGGUGAAGUCUUCUAGAAUACGGCAAUGCUUAUUAUAGAACAAACUAGCUCUCUAUUACAACAGGAAUAUGAAUAGAAGGUCUCCGAUAUUACAAUGAAUAACACCGGCACGGCGACACUACGCCAACCACAGUUGCUCUAUGCAGGCAACAUAACAACUCGGGGCAGCGGAACCUCUACUCGCAGCGGAACAACUAUUGACAGCGGAACAACGAACGGCUAUGAUGGACUCCAAUCCGCAGGGACUCUGGCUGGAAUGUUUAUCCUAGCUCGCGAACAUAGAAACCACACCAAACAAGCAAGCAAUCCAGGCACGACCUGCAAAGUGGUAUGACAAGCCAGGUCAGUAGAUUGAAUGUACUUGCAAUCUCACAAUAAUCAAAAGCACUCAAGACAAACAAUAGCAUAGCCUUAGCAAGUUAAAGCAAUCAUGAACAUGAUACUCACAGGACAACAUGGCAUGCACAAUUGAACAUGAUACAAUUUUAGCAUGGCACGAUCAUAUGAACAUGAUGAUACUACAUGCACCAGGUUAACAUUCACAUGCACCAACUUACUCUGCUCGGGUUACCUCGUAACCAAACGGUGAUCAUUCACGGAUCACAAACGGAACCACACUGGGUUCAACGUGUUACCUCGUAACCAAACGGUGAUCAUUCAUGGAUCACAAACGGAACCAUACUUGGUUCAACGGGUUACCUCGUAACCAAACGGUGAUCAUUCACGGAUCACAAAUAUCCAACAACUUCGGUAUCCACGAUACCACCGUGAUCCUCUCUCGAUCACAACCAACAUCUUUUCUCAUCAUCGAACUGGGGUUAUUAUUAAUCAGGUUAUCAUUAUUGUUGGCUCAUAGUGUGACUGAUUACGACUGGGCCCUUAUCCGCGGGCGCGGCUAUCGAUAAAUUUAACACACACUCUGCAGAGGUUAGUACACUGUACCCACGCCACGGAACCCAUGGCCUCGCACUCCCAUUCGGGUGGAAAAAGGCGUUCCGACAAAACCAAUCUACUGCCCAUGAAACUCUCCCGGCCACUCCGACCAACUCCCCUCUGGGCUAAGUCAUGGGUGGCCCUGUGCCUACCAAAGGCAUCAACGGCCACCAUCGUGUCAAAACACGGCCACCGUCGUGGCAAAACAUAAACGGUCCCAAAUAGGGACAUGUGCACAUAACCAAACUCGGGCUCACAAGGCUUAUGUCCGCCUACCUGAUCAGGGUAGCACGUGCCCAUGACCUUCCCUCGUUGGAGGCACCGGCGAGAGGCAUGACAAUAGACCCAGUUAGGACCUUCCCAUAAAGGAAAAUGUGGUUGCACUGGUCAGCUCGAUUUGGUGGCACCAUGACUCAGCCAACAGUUGUUUAAGUUCAUUAUUUAUCCGAUUAAACUUGAAUGCAAUAAGCUGAGCCAUAAUAAACUAACAUGAUGCAACUACGAUGCAUGAACAUGAUAUCAAUAUAAGCAUGGAGGUGCAACAUAAUCAUCGAGCAUAACCACAAUGAAGCAUAUACCCAACUGAGCAUGACAUACUGAUGAUCAUAACACCACACAGGAUCAUAGCAUGACUACUAGCAUCAUGAAUAAAUACCAUGCAAGAACAUAGCAAGAACACUACCAAGUAAGCAUGUAACGAGCUAGGCGAAAAGUAACAUGCAUAGCAACGGUACUUGAUAACAGACGGUAAACAUGCAUCAGAAAAUACACCACUGCUACCAGCAUAUACUACUACUAUCAAGCAUAACAUGUAACAAUGAUACUAGCAAGUAGCACAAGAUAACAAGAAGCAUCGGAACAUAUCAUGAAGGUGAAUAUGAAACCACGAGCAUAACCGAAACCACGACAACAGUAGCAAACAAGCAGACAGAUAACAGGCAAACUUUUAUUAAAUAUUCAAGUAGAAACCAUGGCUACUACAUGGCUAUCAUGCAAGUGGCUGUUGUGGCUUGCUUGGGGGUGACAGAGACUCCAGAAAGAAGUGCGGUGAAGCCGCGGAACGAAACGCCGGACGGUUCUCUCUCGAAGGGGGCUGAUUAGAGGCAAGGGAAAACUGGUAAUUUUCACUAUGGUACCACCUAGUGAAAAUAGAUCCAAUAGAAAGAGAUCGACGAGACAAAGACGUGAGCGUUGGUUUCACCUCAAUCGGAGUUACGUUUGAAAAGUUAUGAAGGUUGGAAGAUCAGGGACUUUUUUGUAAAAAUAAUAUUCACAGCCGGGUCCCUGAGUGGAUAAGGCAGAAGCGGAUAUUAGAAAACACGCCUUCGAGUAGAGAAAGCGCACUCUGAGCAAAAGAAGAACCAAAAUUCAUUUUUAGAAGGAGAAAACGUAUUCCUAAGAAAUACUUUGGCAAACGCGUUUCCACUUAAGUUGAUUUCGCAAGGGGGAGUCACUUACAGGCGGGCCAAGGAGGCAAGGAGGGCCCACUGGUGGGGGGCGAGCCACGCUCGUCCUCUUCCUCGCGCGACCCCGACCAGGGCAGAGCAGGAAGCAGGGCGAGACAGAGGCGAC